Molecule: ribosomal RNA, 497 nt
Filed under: uncultured bacterium
Lineage: Bacteria
Description: partial 16S ribosomal RNA
Rfam family: Bacterial small subunit ribosomal RNA
Source: RNAcentral
GAUGAACGCUGGCGGCGUGCCUAAUACAUGCAAGUCGAGCGAACAGACGAGGAGCUUGCUCCUCUGACGUUAGCGGCGGACGGGUGAGUAACACGUGGAUAACCUACCUAUAAGACUGGGAUAACUUCGGGAAACCGGAGCUAAUACCGGAUAAUAUAUUGAACCGCAUGGUUCAAUAGUGAAAGACGGUUUUGCUGUCACUUAUAGAUGGAUCCGCGCUGCAUUAGCUAGUUGGUAAGGUAACGGCUUACCAAGGCAACGAUGCGUAGCCGACCUGAGAGGGUGAUCGGCCACACUGGAACUGAGACACGGUCCAGACUCCUACGGGAGGCAGCAGCAGGGAAUCUUCCGCAAUGGGCGAAAGCCUGACGGAGCAACGCCGCGUGAGUGAUGAAGGUCUUCGGAUCGUAAAACUCUGUUAUUAGGGAAGAACAAAUGUGUAAGUAACUAUGCACGUCUUGACGGUACCUAAUCAGAAAGCCACGGCUAACUACGUG